CAGGCCUAACACAUGCAAGUCGAGGGGUAAGGCUCUUUCGGGAGUACACGACCGGCGAACGGGUGAGUAUCGCGUUUGCAACCUACCUUUAACUGGAGAAUAGCCCGAAGAAAUUCGGAUUAAUGCUCCAUAAUAUCAAGAGAAUGCAUAUUCUUUUGAUUAAAGCUCCGGCGGUUAAAGAUGGGCAUGCGUGCCAUUAGCUUGUUGGUGAGGUAACGGCUCACCAAGGCAACGAUGGCUAGGGGUUCUGAGAGGAUGAUCCCCCACACUGGUACUGAGACACGGACCAGACUCCUACGGGAGGCAGCAGUGAGGAAUAUUGGUCAAUGGGCGAAAGCCUGAACCAGCCAUGCCGCGUGCAGGACGACGGCGCUAUGCGUUGUAAACUGCUUUUCUGCUCCAAGAACCCCCCGAUCGUGAUCGGGGUUGACGGUAGAGCAGGAAUAAGCAUCGGCUAACUCCGUGCCAGCAGCCGCGGUAAUACGGAGGAUGCAAGCGUUAUCCGGGUUUAUUGGGUUUAAAGGGUGCGUAGGCGGGAUAAUAAGUCAGUGGUGAAAUCCUGCGGCUUAACCGUAGAAUUGUCAUUGAUACUGUUAUUCUUGAGUUCAGUUGAGGUGGGCGGAAUGUAUAAUGUAGCGGUGAAAUGCUUAGAUAUUAUACAGAACACCGAUUGCGAAGGCAGCUCACUAAGCUGAUACUGACGCUGAGGCACGAAAGCGUGGGGAGCGAACAGGAUUAGAUAUCCUGGUAGUCCACGCUGUAAACGAUGAUCACUCGCUGUUGGCAAUACAUCGUCAGCGGCUGAGCGAAAGCAUUAAGUGAUCCACCUGGGGAGUACGUCGGCCACGAUGAAACUCAAAGGAAUUGACGGGGGGCCCGCACAAGCGGUGGAACAUGUGGUUUAAUUCGAUGAUACGCGAGGAACCUUACCUGGGGCUUAAAUGCAGAACGACGGUUCCCGAAAGGGAUCAUUCUUCGGACGGACUGCAAGGUGCUGCAUGGUUGUCGUCAGCUCGUGCCGUGAGGUGUCGGGUUAAGUCCCAUAACGAGCGCAACCCCUAUUGUUAGUUGCCAGCGAGUAAUGUCGGGGACUCUAACGAAACUGCCGGUGUAAACCGAGAGGAAGGUGGGGAUGACGUCAAAUCAGCACGGCCAUUAUGUCCAGGGCUACACACGUGUUACAAUGGACGAUACAGAGGGAAGCUACUUGGCGACAAGAUGCUAAUCCCGAAAUUCGUUCUUAGUUCGGAUUGGAGUCUGCAACUCGACUUCAUGAAGCUGGAAUCGCUAGUAAUCGCACAUCA
This 1304-nucleotide ribosomal RNA is filed under the name uncultured organism. Its description in RNAcentral is "bacterial SSU rRNA". It matches the Rfam family "Bacterial small subunit ribosomal RNA", at positions 43 to 1351 of the family's 1533-position model. The record is from RNAcentral.